CUCAACUGAGGUAUGCCCUUGAAACUGAUAGACUUGAGUGCAGGAGAGGAGAGCGGAAUUCCUAGUGUAGCGGUGAAAUGCGUAGAUAUUAGGAAGAACACCAGUGGCGAAGGCGGCUCUCUGGACUGCAACUGACGCUGAGGUACGAAAGUGUGGGGAGCGAACAGGAUUAGAUACCCUGGUAGUCCACACUGUAAACGAUGAAUGCUAGGUGUUGGGGUCGACAGGCUUCAGUGCCGGAGUUAACACAUUAAGCAUUCCGCCUGGGGAGUACGGUCGCAAGACUGAAACUCAAAGGAAUUGACGGGGGCCCGCACAAGCAGCGGAGCAUGUGGUUUAAUUCGAAGCAACGCGAAGAACCUUACCAGGGCUUGACAUCCCUCAGACGGUCUUAGAGAUAAGACUUUCCCUUCGGGGACAGA
RNAcentral lists this ribosomal RNA (422 nucleotides) under uncultured bacterium. RNAcentral's name for it is "bacterial SSU rRNA". It matches the Rfam family "Bacterial small subunit ribosomal RNA", at positions 608 to 1030 of the family's 1533-position model. The record is from RNAcentral.